UACGUAGGGCGCAAGCGUUGUCCGGAAUUAUUGGGCGUAAAGAGCUCGUAGGCGGCUUGUCACGUCGAUUGUGAAAGCCCGAGGCUUAACCUCGGGUCUGCAGUCGAUACGGGCUAGCUAGAGUGUGGUAGGGGAGAUCGGAAUUCCUGGUGUAGCGGUGAAAUGCGCAGAUAUCAGGAGGAACACCGGUGGCGAAGGCGGAUCUCUGGGCCAUUACUGACGCUGAGGAGCGAAAGCGUGGGGAGCGAAC
This 250-nucleotide ribosomal RNA is filed under the name uncultured bacterium. RNAcentral's name for it is "partial 16S ribosomal RNA". It matches the Rfam family "Bacterial small subunit ribosomal RNA", at positions 524 to 773 of the family's 1533-position model. RNAcentral also lists the same sequence under 1 other name. The record is from RNAcentral.